RNAcentral lists this unclassified non-coding RNA (381 nucleotides) under soil metagenome. Its description in RNAcentral is "partial contains 5.8S ribosomal RNA, internal transcribed spacer 2, and large subunit ribosomal RNA". The stretch from base 1 to 120 matches the Rfam family "5.8S ribosomal RNA", at positions 35 to 154 of the family's 154-position model. The record is from RNAcentral.
GAUGAAGAACGCAGUGAAAUGCGAUAAGUAAUGUGAAUUGCAGAAUCUCGUGAAUCAUCGAAUCUUUGAACGCACAUUGCGCCCUAUGGUAUUCCGUAGGGCAUGCCUGUCUGAGCGUCAACUCCCACCCUCUCAAGUCUUCUUUUUUUGUUAAGGAGAUUUGGAUUACUUUGAGGAAGUAUCGUUUUUUUUUUAUAAUGCUACUCCUCAGAAAUUCAUAGGCAGUAUGGUCAAACCUGAACCAGGCGUAAUAAUUCUAUAAAAAUCGUCUACGAAGGAAUGUCUGUAUUAGCCUUUAACCCCCCCUAAUUUAUUUUACUUGGGUGACCUCAGAUCAGGUAGGGAUACCCGCUGAACUUAAGCAUAUCAAUAAGCGGAGGA